AGAUUGAACGCUGGCGGCGUGCUUAACACAUGCAAGUCGAGCGGUAACGCGGGAGCAAUCCUGGCGACGAGCGGCGAACGGGUGAGUAAUGCUUGGGAAUCUGCCCAUUAGUGGGGAACAACCAGCCGAAAGGUUGGCUAAUACCGCAUACGCCCUACGGGGGAAAGCGGGGGAUCGAAAGACCUCGCGCUAAUGGAUGAGCCCAAGUCGGAUUAGCUUGUUGGUAGGGUAACGGCCUACCAAGGCGACAAUCCGUAGCUGGUCUGAGAGGACGACCAGCCACACUGGGACUGAGACACGGCCCAGACUCCUACGGGAGGCAGCAGUGGGGAAUAUUGGACAAUGGGGGCAACCCUGAUCCAGCGACGCCGCGUGUGUGAAGAAGGCCUGCGGGUUGUAAAGCACUUUUAGUGGGGAUGAAAAGCUCAGGGUUAACACCUCUGGGUCUUGACCUAACCACAGAAAAGCACCGGCUAACUCUGUGCCAGCAGCCGCGGUAA
Molecule: ribosomal RNA, 500 nt
Filed under: uncultured bacterium
Lineage: Bacteria
Description: SSU rRNA
Rfam family: Bacterial small subunit ribosomal RNA
Source: RNAcentral